UACAGAGGGUGCGAGCGUUGUCCGGAAUCACUGGGCGUAAAGGGCGCGUAGGUGGUGGCUUAAGCGUGCGGUGAAAGCUCGGGGCUCAACCCCGAGUCGGCCGUGCGAACUGGGCUCACUGGAGCAUAGUAGAGGCAGGUGGAAUUCCGGGUGUAGCGGUGGAAUGCGUAGAGAUCCGGAAGAACACCGGUGGCGAAGGCGGCCUGUUGGGCUAUGGCUGACACUGAGGCGCGACAGCGUGGGGAGCAAACAGG
RNAcentral lists this ribosomal RNA (254 nucleotides) under uncultured bacterium. Its description in RNAcentral is "partial 16S ribosomal RNA". It matches the Rfam family "Bacterial small subunit ribosomal RNA", at positions 524 to 776 of the family's 1533-position model. The record is from RNAcentral.